RNAcentral lists this ribosomal RNA (468 nucleotides) under uncultured bacterium. RNAcentral's name for it is "partial 16S ribosomal RNA". It matches the Rfam family "Bacterial small subunit ribosomal RNA", at positions 28 to 507 of the family's 1533-position model. The record is from RNAcentral.
GACGAACGCUGGCGGCGUGCUUAACACAUGCAAGUCGAACGGAAAGGCCCUGCUUUUGUGGGGUGCUCGAGGGGCGAACGGGUGAGUAACACGUGAGUAACCUGCCCUUGACUUUGGGAUAACUUCAGGAAACUGGGGCUAAUACCGGAUAGGAGCUCCUGCUGCAGGGUGGGGGUUGGAUAGUUUCGGCGGUUGGGGAUGGACUCGCGGCUUAUCGGCUUGUUGGUGGGGUAGUGGCUUACCAAGGCUUUGACGGGUAGCCGGCCUGGGAGGGUGACCGGCCACGUUGCGCCUGAGCUACGGCCCAGACUCGUACGGUAGGCAGCGGUGGAGAAUAUUGCACAAUGGGCUGAAGCCUGAUGCAGCACCGCCGCGUGCGGGAUGACGGCCUGCGGGUUGUGAACCGCUUCCGCUUGUGACGAAGCGUUAGUGACGGUACUGGGUGAAUAAGCACCGGCUAACUACGUG